AGCAGCAGCCGCGGGAAUACGGAGGGUGCAAGCGUUGUCCGGAUUUAUUGGGUUUAAAGGGUGCGUAGGCGGCUAUUUAAGUCAGCGGUGAAAGACUCCGGCUCAACCGGAGCAGUGCCAUUGAUACUGGAUAGCUUGAGUGUUGGAGGGGUACAUGGAAUUGAUGGUGUAGCGGUGAAAUGCAUAGAUACCAUCAGGAACACCGAUAGCGAAGGCAUUGUACUGGCCAACAACUGACGCUGAGGCACGAAAGCAUGGGGAGCGAACAGGAUUAGAUACCCGAGUAGUCCCUGUCUCUUAUAC
RNAcentral lists this ribosomal RNA (303 nucleotides) under uncultured bacterium. RNAcentral describes it as "partial 16S ribosomal RNA". It matches the Rfam family "Bacterial small subunit ribosomal RNA", at positions 507 to 807 of the family's 1533-position model. The record is from RNAcentral.